This 253-nucleotide ribosomal RNA is filed under the name uncultured bacterium. RNAcentral's name for it is "partial 16S ribosomal RNA". It matches the Rfam family "Bacterial small subunit ribosomal RNA", at positions 524 to 776 of the family's 1533-position model. The record is from RNAcentral.
UACGGAGGGUGCAAGCGUUGCUCGGAAUUAUUGGGCGUAAAGGGUAGGUAGGUGGUCUCAUUUGUCUGGGGUGAAAGCCUUGGGCUUAACUCAAGAAGUGCCCCAGAAACGGUGAGACUGGAGUCCUGGAGAGGGUCGUGGAAUUCCCGGUGUAGCGGUGAAAUGCGUAGAGAUGGGGGAGAACACUCGUGGCGAAGGCGGCCAGCUAGACCAGUUCUGACGCUGAGACGCGAAAGCGUGGGGAGCAAACAGG